Transfer RNA from Podospora anserina, 115 nucleotides. It matches the Rfam family "tRNA". Rfam says of the family: Transfer RNA (tRNA) molecules are approximately 80 nucleotides in length. Their secondary structure includes four short double-helical elements and three loops (D, anti-codon, and T loops). NCBI's taxonomy places the organism in Eukaryota, Fungi, Ascomycota, Sordariomycetes, Sordariales, Podosporaceae. The record is from Rfam.
GGCUGGAUGGCCGAGCGGUCUAAGGCGCUAGACUCAAGAUCACAGUAUCUUCUCUUCUAUAGAAGGGUGCAUUCUAGUCUCGAAAGAGGCGCGCGUUCGAAUCGCGCUCCAGUCA